RNAcentral lists this ribosomal RNA (221 nucleotides) under uncultured fungus. RNAcentral's name for it is "partial 28S ribosomal RNA". It matches the Rfam family "Eukaryotic large subunit ribosomal RNA", at positions 1 to 220 of the family's 3401-position model. The record is from RNAcentral. Lineage: Eukaryota; Fungi.
UGACCUCAAAUCAGUAGGACUACCCGCUGAACUUAAGCAUAUCAAUAAGCGGAGGAAAAGAAACUAACAAGGAUUCCCCUAGUAACUGCGAGUGAAGCGGGAAAAGCUCAAAUUUAAAAUCUGGCGGGCCCCUCCGUCCGAGUUGUAAUCUGGAGAAGCGUCUAUCCGCGUUGGACCGUGUACAAGUCUUCUGGAAGGGAGCGUCAUAGAGGGUGAGAACC